Long non-coding RNA from Bubalus bubalis (water buffalo), 1547 nucleotides. RefSeq lists it as uncharacterized. The transcript is spliced from 4 exons. Lineage: Eukaryota; Metazoa; Chordata; Mammalia; Artiodactyla; Bovidae. The record is from RefSeq and is a predicted model, not a curated record.
GAGGGGGUGGGGAAUACGUGUGCACUAUUUAGGGGCGUUUAUAGGUGCCUCUGAAUCGGAAACUUCACUAUUCAAAAGUGCUUUGGGGCCAAAUGAGCUCUCCAACUCUACAAGCAGAAAGCCCUACUGGGGAGAUGUUGAGGGGGGAUAUUCCUCCCCCACCACCAGACUAGGCUGCAUUCAGCAAAAACGACUCAGAUUGAGGGAGGUAGGGAGGAAAGGAAAGAAGAAAAAAAAGGAAGGAAGGGAAGGAAGAAAGGAGGAAAGAGAAGAGAUUUUUAAAAAGAGAGGAUUUAAUUGGACUUAGUGGCAGAGGGGAUUAGCAAGAGGGGCACUCGGGACCUGGUUUUAAAUUGGCGAGUGCAUUUUAGAAGGAAACACUACGCACGAUCAGGGUCUGGGUGUUCCAGCGAACUGAUGACCAUACAAAUCACGAGUUUCACAGGGAUGGCAUAGUGUCAUGCUUUAGCCAUCAGCUAUCGUGGAAACUAGCCUCCCUCUCGUAGGCAAUCCAUCAUUCACUAACUGGCCGCUCUACCAUUCCACACGGAAAGAAGUCGGACUCGGAGCCUCCGGCGCGGGCUGGGUCUGGGAACCCUCUGCGGGCGCGGGCGCGCGGGCGGGCGACCGAGUGCCGGCCAAGCGGGGCUCGGAUGGGAGCGGCCCGCGCCAGAUCCGAGGGCGAUUGCCUCCCCAGCCUGCGGAGGGUACGGCCGCGAGUGCCUCCAAAUCACUAGGGGACUCUGAACGUGUUGCUCCCGUCAACUCGCCCGACAUGAUUCAUUUAUUCACUUAGAUAAACCACCACUGCCACACCAACCUGCCACUUGAUGCGCACUUAAAAGGACAGGGGAGCGCGGCCAGGCAGACCCUCCGCCGGACACGACUCGGGGAGAAACGUGUUUUAAAAUCCAAGCUCUUGAGCUUCUAACCCGGGAGCGCGCGCGAGUGUGUGAAGAGGCUGGGAACGUCGGUUUUCAGAGACUCUAGAAUAAACUUCUCGCCCCCCUCUCCUCCCGAGGACAGCCGGGAAUGUGGGUGAUCGAGUCUCAUUGGGUCGGGUCGGCCUUCUAAGUUGGCGGGGCCCUGCGGGACCAGUCUGCCUGACCCGACCGCGCUCGCAUUGGAGAGCCGAGGCUCGAUCGGUCUGCCGGGCUGCAUAACCCCCGCCCCGCAGCAGCAGCGUCCCUCGCGCGCCGCCGCGUUUCCCGCGCUCUCGGCCCGUACUUCCCGGCGCGGCCUACAAGGCCCCGCGCGGCCCCGCCUCCGGGUCCGCUCGGUCUCCGGCUGCGAGCGGGAAGGCGGAGGUUAUCCGCCGAGGGACAAGCGGCGCGGACCGAGUUUUUGGAUAGAACCGUAUCGAAAGUCUGGUCUGUGGUAAUUUUAGAAUUUGAGCUGCUGGCCUGCUGAUGGGGGUUCCUGAGCAGAAGGGAAAAUGAGCUUAAACAUGAGGCUUGGAGGAGAAAGAAGGGCUGGGGAGAAAUAUGGUUAUUCAGUCAGUCAGUUCAGUCACUCAGUCGUAUCCAACUCUUUGUGACCCCAUGGAC